RNAcentral lists this long non-coding RNA (203 nucleotides) under Setaria viridis. RNAcentral describes it as "long non-coding RNA (SVIR_LNC001744)". The record is from RNAcentral. Lineage: Eukaryota; Viridiplantae; Streptophyta; Magnoliopsida; Poales; Poaceae.
GGUGGGAUGAUGAUUGGCUGAAUUAUUGGUUCUAUGUUAAAGUGGAGAUGAACAAUGGAGAUAGCAAAUUGGUCUAUCCCUUCUAUAUGACUAUACGUCCCAUGGACGUUGCUAUGACUCCACCGGUUGUCAGGUCCAAGAUGGUUAAGAAAUGUGAGAGUGCCUUUACUGCAGCUUCGGGCUCUGUGUCUGGGCGGGACUUG